GUCUGUUUAGUCUGUUUAUCGGGUCUGCUGUGUUGUGUUUGUGUGUCAUUCCUCAUUCCUAAGUUGGACCCGAGUUACCCCUGUGUCUUGGAUCUAAUAAAGACUAUUUUGUGUAUUCCACAGCUCUGUGUUCCUUCCGGCAGCGAUCGUGACAGAAGACCCGCCCGAAACGGUUUAAUCCAUGUGUACCCUACGUUUUUAUUCCUCACAGUGUUUUUUGUUACCGUUGUGUGUUUCUAUAGAUCCCCUCUCCCGUCCAGAAUAUCUCCUCCUCCAGCUACCCGGACGACGCACUCUGUGCAUUCUAUGAUGCCAAUUUUAACAUCUCGUGCAGAGCACUGUCGUCCCAAGAUGCUCCUCGAUGAAAUUCGCUGCCUUUGUGGACACUGGUACUUCUUGGGCAUCAAUCCAGGGACAAGCACAAACUCAAAGAGGCAGAGAGGACAUAUCAACCAGCAAGUCUGUACACUGAUCAGGAAACUCAUUGACUUUGAAUGGAUGUCAAUCUAGUGUUUAAGCAAUGUUCCAACACCAGAAUGGACAAACCAAAUUCUGGCUUUGUGUUAAGCUAGAUGUGGUCAUGUAGUAAGAUGAUCACUGAAUAUGUUCUAUAUGUCUUUCCAGUGUUAUAGGUUAUUGAUGGGUUAAAAAAAUCAAAUUUCAAAAUUACAGUAUUUUAUAAUAAAUUAACAAUACAUUUUAAAUUAAAAGUUUUUAAUUAAAAAUAGUAAAUUAAAAGCACAUUACUGGCUACUGAUUUGAAUUAGUUAUUAUUAGUUUACACUGUAAUUCUACAGCAGAAUACUGCUAAAUUGUUGUAAUCUGAUGGCAUUAACUAACCUCACAGAUGAGUGCAGUAAUUCUACAGUAUAAUUACAGUAAUGUCACCAUAUACAGCUGUCAUUUCACAAUUAUGUACUGUAUAAAUGAUACAGUAACUUACUGUGAAAGUAAUGUAACUAGUUUACAGUAAUUUACUGUGUAAUUAAUGCAACUAGUAGCCAGUAAUUUACUGUAAAUUUACGGUCAAAUUUUUUACAGUGCAGCCAUAUUAUUUCUAUAACUACACAUGUAACAACCCUCCAAAUGGUUUGUGUAAUUACAAAUGUGUAACAGAAUAUAUAUUUUGUAACAACAAUAUGUAUAAGAGUAAUUGGAACAAUUUGAUCCAGGGGGUGGAGAUGGGUAGGUUUAGGAGUGGAUAUGGGAUCCUGGGGGUGGAGAUGGGAAGGUUUAGGGAUAUGUGAAGUGGGAGGAGUUGAAACUCAAGUUGGUGGAGUUGGUGCACCACUUUAUACCAGUGUACUUACAUGGUAACUCCUCAGCAACUGUCCACUUAAUAUAAAAUGUAACAUUCUGGACACUAACCACAAUUUAUACGUAAAGAUUAACUUACUGGCCGCUGCUGUGUAACAUCAGAGUAAUUACGUGGUUAAUCCAUAGGAGUUGUUUACUUAAUAUAAAGUGUAAAACUUUCUUUACCAAAAAGUGCUGUUAGUUCUGUUACACAUUUGCACUUUCAUUACCAAAAAGAGUUGUUACCAAUGUCCUGUUACACAGUUGUAUUUACACAUACUGUACCAUUCAGUGGGUUGUUACAUAUGUGUAGUUACACAAAAAUUACAGCUGUAGAUACUAUGUACCAAUGUGUACUUACACUGUGGUUACAUAAUAUGUACACAUCUAGUUACUAUGUAAGUACACAGGUAUUAGGGCCACAAUGUAAAGUGGGACCAUCAGUCCACAAAAUAAUCCAAAAGUGGCAUACAAAAUUAAAUAAUAAAUAAAAGCAAAAGUGUGUGAGCUGUCAAAACUAUAUAAUUAGUCAAAG
Molecule: long non-coding RNA, 1831 nt
Organism: Cyprinus carpio carpio
Lineage: Eukaryota; Metazoa; Chordata; Actinopteri; Cypriniformes; Cyprinidae
Source: Ensembl